CCUACGGGAGGCAGCAGUAGGGAAUCUUCCACAAUGGGCGCAAGCCUGAUGGAGCAACACCGCGUGAGUGAAGAAGGGUUUCGGCUCUUAAAGCUCUGUUGUUGGAUAAGUACGUGCGUGAGAGUAACUGUUCACGCAGUGACGGUAUCCAACCAGAAAGUCACGGCUAACUCCGUGCCAGCAGCCGCGGUAAUACGUAGGUGGCAAGCGUUAUCAGGAUUUAUUGGGCGUAAAGCGAGCGCAGGCGGUUGGUUAGGUCUGAUGUGAAAGCCUUCGGCUUAACCGAAGAAGUGCAUCGGAAACCGGGCAACUUGAGUGCAGAAGAGGAGAGUGGAACUCGAUGUGUAGCGGUGGAAUGCGUAGAUAUAUGGAAGAACACCAGUGGCGAAGGCGGCUGUCUGGUCUGCAACUGACGCUGAGGCUCGAAAGCAUGGGUAGCGAACAGGAUUAGAUACCCUUGUAGUC
Molecule: ribosomal RNA, 465 nt
Filed under: uncultured bacterium
Lineage: Bacteria
Description: partial 16S ribosomal RNA
Rfam family: Bacterial small subunit ribosomal RNA
Source: RNAcentral